UCUUUUGCCUCAUGAUGAAUGCUUAUAUUUUUAUAUAUUAUAAAAUAAAUAAAAAGUUGUGAAAAAAAAAGUAAAGAAUUGGCAAUAAAAGAUAAUUUUAUCUAAUGAUCUUUUUCUAAUGAUCUUUUUCUCAAUCUUUGAUGUGUUCUGUUCUGAUGGACUCACCACAUUCAUCACCAUGUUCUCGGAUUUCAUUUACGUCAACCCGACCGGCACCAAAACCUAAUAAGAAACGAAAGAUACAGUUUUUAGAUGAUGAGAUUCCUCACAUGAUCACACUAUCGUCCCCUCAUCAUACUUCCUCACCACUGCAGAAAACACGCUUACGGUUAAUGGAUGAAAUUAUUUAGGUAUGUUGUUUUAUUUCCCCAAUGUUAUUUUGAAUCCAUCCAUCUGUUACUAUGCUUGUGUCAUGAUGAGUAGGAUCAAACUCCUUCUUUAGACUUGUUGGUCAAUGUCAGUUUUACUUGAUUGUCAGAGUCUUUGCAGGCAGUUACCACAACCUUGGUAUGCUCACAUCAUGAAUAUAUCAAAAUCAGUCUUAAAGUCAUUACAGCGCCUAAAGGAUCUCUUAUAACCAAUGUUCCAGGCUUCAAUGGAUCUCUACCUUCAAAGCACUAUGGAGGGUAUGUAACAAUAGAUGAAAGUCAUGGUAAGAACUUGUAUUACUAUUUUGUUCAAUCAGAAGGCGAUUCAUCAAAGGACCCUAUUGUUCUAUGGCUGAAUGGUGGACCAGGAUGUUCUAGUUUUGAUGGUUUUGUAUAUGAACAUGGUAAUAACUAUUUUUCACUAUCAUUUUCAUUUUGUAAUUGUUUCUCAAAUCAAAUAAAUGUAGAGUGAAAAUUCAUUUUAAUAUCCAAAACAAUUUUUUUGUAAUAUCUAAUCUAAUAUAUUAUAUAAACAAUGUGUUCCAUUGGUGAUGUGUUUCAGGUCCUUUUAAUUUUGACAAACCUGUCAAUGGAUCCUUGCCUAAGUUGCAUCUCAAUCCAUACAGUUGGUCCAAGUUUGGUCAUUUUUAAUAAUAAUAAUCAGAAAUUCAAUCUAUUAAAUUAGUAUUUGUAGUAUUUAAAAUAUAUGAUUUUAGUCUAAAUAUUAGACAAAACAUUUUGAAUCAUUUUUAAUGUGUUUUCUUGCAGGUUUCCAACAUUAUAUAUUUGGACUCACCCGUUGGAGUAGGAUUUUCGUAUUCGAAAAAUACAUCUCAGUACGAAACUGGAGAUGAAAAGACUGCGACUGAUUCACAUACUUUUCUCCUCAAAUGGUUUGAAUUAUAUCCUGAGUUUCUU
This is a long non-coding RNA of Lathyrus oleraceus (garden pea), 1286 nucleotides long. RefSeq lists it as uncharacterized. The transcript is spliced from 5 exons. Lineage: Eukaryota; Viridiplantae; Streptophyta; Magnoliopsida; Fabales; Fabaceae. The record is from RefSeq and is a predicted model, not a curated record.